CCACCUUCAACCCUACCUACUGACCUCUCUGCUGGCUUGCUCUCUUCCUGCCUACCCCCAGAAUUCCCCUCUCCCUCCCUAGAUCUCACCCCCAGGAUGUUGCGGAGGCUGCUGGAGCGGCCUUGCACGCUGGCCCUGCUUGUGGGCUCCCAGCUGGCUGUCAUGAUGUACCUGUCACUGGGGGGCUUCCGAAGUCUCAGUGCCCUAUUUGGCCGAGAUCAGGGGCCGACAUUUGACUAUUCUCACCCUCGUGAUGUCUACAGUAACCUCAGUCACCUGCCUGGGGCCCCAGGGGGUCCUCCAGCUCCUCAAGGUCUGCCCUACUGUCCAGAACGAUCUCCUCUCUUAGUGGGUCCUGUGUCGGUGUCCUUUAGCCCAGUGCCAUCACUGGCAGAGAUUGUGGAGCGGAAUCCCCGGGUAGAACCAGGGGGCCGGUACCGCCCUGCAGGUUGUGAGCCCCGCUCCCGAACAGCCAUCAUUGUGCCUCAUCGUGCCCGGGAGCACCACCUGCGCCUGCUGCUCUACCACCUGCACCCCUUCUUGCAGCGCCAGCAGCUUGCUUAUGGCAUCUAUGUCAUCCACCAGGCUGGAAAUGGAACAUUUAACAGGGCAAAACUGUUGAACGUUGGGGUGCGAGAGGCCCUGCGUGAUGAAGAGUGGGAUUGCCUGUUCUUGCAUGAUGUGGACCUCUUGCCAGAAAAUGACCACAAUCUGUAUGUGUGUGACCCCCGGGGACCCCGCCAUGUUGCCGUUGCUAUGAACAAGUUUGGAUACAG
RNAcentral lists this small RNA (776 nucleotides) under Pongo abelii (Sumatran orangutan). RNAcentral's name for it is "processed transcript". The record is from RNAcentral. Lineage: Eukaryota; Metazoa; Chordata; Mammalia; Primates; Hominidae.